RNAcentral lists this ribosomal RNA (456 nucleotides) under uncultured bacterium. Its description in RNAcentral is "bacterial SSU rRNA". It matches the Rfam family "Bacterial small subunit ribosomal RNA", at positions 923 to 1379 of the family's 1533-position model. The record is from RNAcentral.
GCACAAGCGGUGGAGCAUGUGGUUUAAUUCGACGCAACGCGAAGAACCUUACCUGGGCUCGAAAUGUAGUGGACCGGAGUAGAAAUAUUCCUUCCCCGCAAGGGGCUGCUAUAUAGGUGCUGCAUGGCUGUCGUCAGCUCGUGUCGUGAGAUGUUGGGUUAAGUCCCGCAACGAGCGCAACCCUUAUCUCCAGUUGCUACCAUUUAGUUGAGCACUCUGGCGAAACCGCCUCGGAUAACGGGGAGGAAGGUGGGGAUGACGUCAAGUCCUCAUGGCCUUUAUGUCCAGGGCUACACACGUGCUACAAUGGCCGGUACAAACCGUUGCAAACCCGCGAGGGGGAGCUAAUCGGAAAAAGCCGGCCUCAGUUCGGAUCGCAGUCUGCAACUCGACUACGUGAAGCUGGAAUCGCUAGUAAUCGCGGAUCAGAACGCCGCGGUGAAUACGUUCCCGGGC